This is a non-coding RNA of Myriangium duriaei CBS 260.36, 117 nucleotides long. Lineage: Eukaryota; Fungi; Ascomycota; Dothideomycetes; Myriangiales; Myriangiaceae. The record is from the annotation of a GenBank genome assembly.
GGCAGGAUGGCCGAGUGGUUAUGGCGUGUGACUCAAGCUUCUAGCUUCUCCGAUGGUCUAACAUCGAGGGUUUUCUCAUGGGCUCUGCCCGCGGGGGUUCGAAUCCCCCUCCUGUCA